GACAGCAGUCGCCGCGGUAAUACAGAGGGUGCAAGCGUUAAUCGGAUUUACUGGGCGUAAAGCGUGCGUAGGCGGCUUCUUAAGUCGGAUGUGAAAUCCCUGAGCUUAACUUAGGAAUUGCAUUCGAUACUGGGAAGCUAGAGUAUGGGAGAGGAUGGUAGAAUUCCAGGUGUAGCGGUGAAAUGCGUAGAGAUCUGGAGGAAUACCGAUGGCGAAGGCAGCCAUCUGGCCUAAUACUGACGCUGAGGUACGAAAGCAUGGGGAGCAAACAGGAUUAGAUACCCGUGUAGUCCCUGUCUCUUAUAC
RNAcentral lists this ribosomal RNA (306 nucleotides) under uncultured bacterium. RNAcentral describes it as "partial 16S ribosomal RNA". It matches the Rfam family "Bacterial small subunit ribosomal RNA", at positions 507 to 807 of the family's 1533-position model. The record is from RNAcentral.